UGAUUAUUUAGACAACGGGUCAGCUAUGACAUUUUUGCCUGUGUGGGUGCUGUCACCUAUAUAAACACGCAGAACAAUUAAUCUGUACUAACGAGAAGUGUCGCCGCUGUAGAAUAUUGCUGUAAGCGCAAUGCAGUAGUAUGAACUCCUGUCACUGAAGUAUAAUAUAUAUAUAAACACAUUCCGGUCUUUGAACAACGCCACACAAACAUAAUCAGGAGAACUGCUAUCUUCCUAUCUCGUCUCUCGGAUUUCUACGACAAAAUUGUAGGAAUGAUGUAGUAUCGCUAAUACAGGUUGGCAGCAUAAACUUCCACACAUUUUUGUGAGGAAAGGAGGAACUGAUUUACCAGCAGGAUGCUAAUGUAUUUCGGGCUUCAGCUGAUGAUACUGCCAUGUUUGUUCUACUGUGGUGACUGUAUUCUCCUGAAGUCGCUCCUCACACUACAAGAUAUGGAUACAUACGGUAUUUCAGCAGAUGAUAUUUUGUCGUUCGAGAGACAGAGAUAUGACUCAGGAAAACCGCUGAUAAGUGGCGUACGGGGAUUUCAUCCAUGGGGAGGUAAACGAAGCUCGCCAAGUCAUAAGAAUUGGAAUAUUUUAGUAGCGAUUAACUACGGGAUUGAGGGGAAUCAUCGACGGCCAGCCUGGUCUCAUGAUAGCCUGCAGAAACAUGAUAUGUCAUGAGGAUUCAACAAGUUAUCAAGGAAGUUUUGAUUUAAAGAAUUAAUCCUUAGUUUGUAUAUCUUUUGAUCUAUACCAAACGACCUAAAGACCUUGUCAUCAAUGUGUAUGAAUAAAACUUUCUGUACAAACAU
Pecten maximus is the source of this 818-nucleotide long non-coding RNA. RefSeq lists it as uncharacterized. The transcript is spliced from 2 exons. NCBI's taxonomy places the organism in Eukaryota, Metazoa, Mollusca, Bivalvia, Pectinida, Pectinidae. The record is from RefSeq and is a predicted model, not a curated record.